CAACAGGAUGAGCUCUCAAAUAAGUGUGAUACCCUAUUUCAUGCUUAAAAGAUCAAAGUGAGAAAUUAUUUUUACUCUUCUGUAAUAGUCCAGUUCCUCCAGCAAGAAUACUCCAAUGUGGAAUUCAAAAUGCGAGGCAGAAACAUCUCUAAAUAAAGGGAGGAAAUCUUGAAUAUAGGAUCCAGUCAACAACAUGCCUCAAGCGGAGAAGAGAGGCAGAGUUCCUGUCACCAUGGAGACAACAGAAAGAAGUUAUGAUAUCUACAGCCAGCCAUGAGCCAGUGCAUGAAGAUAUAAAGGUCAACUGAAAGUGAACACAGAGAAACAAAAAAAUGCAUUUGAGGCCAAUUAAGGUGGUUUUCAACCAGUUCUCCAUUCAGCUUUCUAAAAAUCAAACCAGCAGAAUUCUCUUUGAUUUGCAGUUGGUUUUUUACUUAGGACAAAUAAUUUUAAAACAUUAGAAAAUCAUGGAUAAAUUUUAUAAUAAAA
Molecule: long non-coding RNA, 489 nt
Filed under: Heterocephalus glaber (naked mole-rat)
Lineage: Eukaryota; Metazoa; Chordata; Mammalia; Rodentia; Bathyergidae
Description: lncRNA (ENSHGLG00100040759.1)
Source: RNAcentral